Molecule: ribosomal RNA, 119 nt
Organism: Pteropus vampyrus (large flying fox)
Lineage: Eukaryota; Metazoa; Chordata; Mammalia; Chiroptera; Pteropodidae
Source: Ensembl
GUUUAUGGCCAUGCUAACCUGCACAAGCCUGAUCUCGUCUGAUCUCGGCAGCUAAGCAGGGUCGGGCCUGGUUAGUACUUGGAUGGGAGACCAUCUAGGAAGACUAGGUGCUGUAGUUG